This 275-nucleotide long non-coding RNA is filed under the name Brassica napus (rape). Its description in RNAcentral is "long non-coding RNA (BNAP_LNC019975)". Lineage: Eukaryota; Viridiplantae; Streptophyta; Magnoliopsida; Brassicales; Brassicaceae. The record is from RNAcentral.
GGGCAUGGAUUCAUGUGAACAAAACCCUCAACAAAAAAAUAAGAAUUUUUUUCUGUCUACACCUAACUUUUCUAUUUUGAUCUCACAAGUUGUGGAUUAUAUCAAAGCCAAGACCUUUUGAUACCAUUGCUUGUAACUGCCAAGAAGGGAAACCAUUUAUUCGCAUAAAAGCUCCUGUGUUUUUUCUUCUCUCUCCUAUAGACCUCUUGAGAUUCAAUACAAAACGUUGUGGAUAGAAGGGAAACGUUGCAGAUACAGUGGCUUUUGCUGUAGAU